Molecule: unclassified non-coding RNA, 2604 nt
Filed under: Dimorphilus gyrociliatus
Lineage: Eukaryota; Metazoa; Annelida; Polychaeta; Dinophilidae
Description: peptidase S1 domain-containing protein
Source: RNAcentral
AUCACUAGUUAUUCUAACUGCUACCCUCAUCGUCAAUUUUCCCUUUUCUUUCUUCUUUAUUCUCUGAUAACCUUUACUAAAUUUUGUGCUGAAAUCGUUACUGUCUCGGUUCAGAAACGACCCAAGAUGAUUAAACUGGAGGACGUUACCUCAGCAUUAGAUUAUAAUAAAUUUAGCUUUCUCUACUCUCAGCUACAAUGCAAGCAGAAUGAUUUGAAAGAGCUGAGAGAAUUUUUAAACGAAAGUCGUUCGAUUGAGGAAAAUUAUUGUAAAGGUUUAUUGAAGCUAUAUUGUAAAUUUCCAAAAGAGGAUCAUUUCAGUUCCUUUCAAUCUCUCUGGGACAAUCUGAAAGAUCUCGUCAGGGGGGCUUGCAAUUUGCACCAAACUGUAGCUCACAAUUUGAAUGAUAUAUCCAACAAUCUUAAAAAGUAUAUGGGUAUAACAUCCUACUUAUUCUUAACGAUUAUUUGCUGUUUUUUUUAACUUGUCAAUAGUUUAAUGGAAUUCCUUUUCCAUUGUAGAAAGUGUCAAAACCAAAAAUGAGGCUAUUAAGAUGGAAGAGAGCAGUAUACUUACGUUUAAAAGAUCUUUAGAUAACCUUGAAAAAUCAAAAGAAAAAGCUAAAAGUGACUAUAGGAGCGUAAUUAAUUAUCUGAAUGAUUAUAAGACUAGGUCGUUUGUUAAAGGCGACUGUUUGGAAAAGCUUAUGUCAAAAGCUGAAAAGUCAUCGUUGACCUUUAAAACUCUUGACGUCCGUUAUGUCGAUUCAAAGGACGAAUUUGAAAGAAGACUUGAAAAGAUGUAUGGAAAUAUAGAAAAAGCAGAAAACCAUCAUUUAGAUAACUUGAAUAGCUUUACUAUUGAUUAUUCGAACGUAUGGACGAGUUAUUCUUUAAAUUUUGAUCAGCUCCUUAAGCAUAAAAAUCUAAAGAAAUUAAAGAAGAGCUCCUCCCCUCCUCGCUACUCUUCUCCUAGUCAGUCGAAAGGCUAAAUUGCAAACAAUGCAAACAAGAUGAAAGAGGAUCUAAAUCGGAAGGGAGAAGUCAAUUGACUAAACAAUUAUUUUCGUAUUAAUUUCAGACUUACUGUCUUCUUUUAGUUGAUUUUAUUAACGAAAUAAUUAAGGAAUUUGUUAGGCUUAUGUAUGGAAUAUUUUGCCUGUUAAAUUAUAGAUUUUACCAACCUACUCUGCCAACUAAACAUAUGUAACAAUCUACGCAAUAGCUUAUUAAUAUUAUUAAUAAAUAAACACUGAGUGCGUGCCAAAGUUCAAUUUAUCUUUAAUGCCAUCCAAGUCAUUUUUACGUUUUAACCUACGCAACAUAUUUUCUAGACUAGCUACACAGCUGUAAUAUUCACGAACAACGCUAAUGUCUCUUAUUUUUUACAUUUAGAUAAAUAAAUCUUAUACUUAGUAUAUAAAUGUCGACUUUCUAUAAAUUUACUUUUAUACUAAACUAUGUAAGCAUGAAAUUAAUGACUUUUAUAUUCCUUAUCCAACUGGUAUCUUCCGAGAAUAUUGAUCUCUUGGGAAAACCUGUAAAACAAUCUGGUAAGAAUAGAAUACUAUUCGAUGGGGUUUUGCACAAGGCCGAAUUGGCUAUUGAUGGGGAUGAGACUGAUGGAGGGGACUUUAAAUCGUGCAUGAAUGCCGAACCGGAUGGUGAUUAUAAAUGGCUAAUGAUUGAUCUGGAAAGUGUAUAUAACAUUAAUAAAGUAAAUUUAGUGCUAAGGGAAUGUUGCUUUGAUCAUUACAGAGAAUUGUUUAUUCGUUUAUACACUAAACCUCCAGAAAAAUGGUACGACGGUGGAGAUUUGUGCAAACAUUUCAAAAUUGAAAAAGAUCCACCAAGAAAAAUAAAUAUAUCAUGCGAUAACCCCGUAUCUGGCCGUUAUGUUGCAAUAUCUAUGAAUUAUAAACUUCCAAUUUAUAAGAACUUGCAGCUUUGCGAGGUCUAUAUCGAUGGAACUUUGACAGGCAACUCUGUAAAACAAGCCACGAACUACACACCCAAAAUAGCCAGAACGACGGACCGUUUGUCAACCUCAUCAACUUUGACUGUUACUCCCGUUCCAACGCCAACAAGCACAGAGAAGAUUAAGUAUAGUAAGAAAGCGGAAAAAGAAUGCUCUAGCCAGGAUUCUUGCGGAUUAAGGUGUACCGAUACAGUUGAACCAUCGGGAUUAGAAGCCGUUCCUAACAGUUGGCCGUUUUUAGCGGCCAUAUUCCAAAGAACGCCUUAUUUGCGGUACAUUUGUGCAGCAACGAUUAUUUCACAUAAAUGGUUAAUUACAUCAGCAAAUUGCUUUGAGGGCGAUCUAAAGAGUGAAAAUUACAUAGUCCUAGUUGGAGUGACAAACACUGAAUUUGAAGAAUUAAAUUUUAACCAAAAGGAACACGAAAUAAACCGAUUUGUGUCCCAACCGGAAUUUCCGGAAAAAACUGACAAUGGUACUGUCCUAAUUGAAUUAAAGGAAGAUCUUAUGUGGAAUCAACAAAUACGUAGAAUUUGUCUAUCACCACAAAAACCCUCUAAGGCUGAUAAAUGUUUUCAAGUAGGUUGGGGUUCAAGGUUUCUUAACUUAAAAGGUUGUGAUAAUUAG